This 219-nucleotide long non-coding RNA is filed under the name Elaeis guineensis (African oil palm). Its description in RNAcentral is "long non-coding RNA (EGUI_LNC023542)". The record is from RNAcentral. Lineage: Eukaryota; Viridiplantae; Streptophyta; Magnoliopsida; Arecales; Arecaceae.
GCUGUCUCAUGUUUUGUUUCAUUUAGCCCUUUUUUUAUACAAUUCUUAGCAGAGAUAUGGCAUGGUGUCAGAUCCCGGAUUUUCAUGCAACCUUCCAGAAUUUUAGCGAUAUUGCACCAUUCUCGAAAGAUAUAUUUUGUUUUCAUUUCCAUAGGUAAAAACUAUAUAACCAUCUCUUAUAGCCGAAACCCAUUUCGAUUAUUUGGAUACAUGGAAGGU